Long non-coding RNA from Homo sapiens (human), 825 nucleotides. Ensembl annotates it as CBLL1 antisense RNA 1. Its record names the gene CBLL1-AS1. Lineage: Eukaryota; Metazoa; Chordata; Mammalia; Primates; Hominidae. The record is from Ensembl.
GCGUGCGCACUGCCUUCCGGAGGCCGGGAGGCGGAAGUCCAAGCAGGUUGUCCCAAUUUUGGCCUGCAAAGACUUCCUUCUCUCGCCUCUACUAUCCAACUCCUGUGAGGGACUCAGGCAUAGUUCGGGCGGAGGCAGAAAGAGCGAGCGCGCGAAGAACUUCGGUAUUGAGGGAGAGCGCUUGUGACGCUACGAACCUCUCGAACACCUGACGACUGGGCGCCAGGGCCGGAUGGAGGGUGGAGAGCCAGUGCGGCGCAGCUGCCUCCUCUUAACGGGGACACCUUGCAGGAAUGUGCGGAGUGGAGCUAACGGGAGCGGAUAGAAACCGAGGGAGGGGAAGAGAGCGCGAAGGCUUGGCCGGAAGGAGAGGUUAAAAAGGAAAGGCCUAAAAUGAGGAAGAGAGUUACCACAACAAGCAGUACCUAGUUCCAGUUCUUGGUCCCAGGAGUUUGUGGUUGUUGCUGCUUUCAUCUUCCUCAGCCAACACAAAAGGAAAGUGCCAAGGGGCGAUUCCUAGGACCUUCAGUGCAGUCUCCACCUUGCGGACUUGGCUCAUUUGUGUCCACUCCUUUCUCCAGCCUUUUACACUUGAUGCUCUUGGAUGAAUAGAAAGGAGCACAAUUAAUGGAAAACACAAGCUUGGGAGUCAAGGGAUUUGGGUUCUAUUCUUGUCCUCCCUUGGUGACGACAUCAUUACCUUGGGUUAUUCAAGCUUUCAGUGCCAGAGUUCCUAUAUCAAUAAAAGAUUAUUACAUUGACCUCUUAGAGAAAUGUUUUCAUGGUACUGAAUUGCAAAUAAAGUAUGUGUAGCGAUGUGUUAUA